GGAUUAGAUACCCUGGUAGUCCACGCAGUAAACGGUGAACACUAGGUGUAGCGGGUAUUGACCCCCGCUGUGCCGCAGUUAACGCAUUAAGUGUUCCGCCUGGGAAGUACGGCCGCAAGGCUAAAACUCAAAGGAAUUGACGGGGGCCCGCACAAGCGGUGGAGCAUGUGGUUUAAUUCGACGCAACGCGAAGAACCUUACCUGGAUUUGACAUCCCGGGAAUCCUUUGGAAACAUAGGAGUACCCUUCGGGGAGCCCGGUGACAGGUGCUGCAUGGCUGUCGUCAGCUCGUGCCG
RNAcentral lists this ribosomal RNA (296 nucleotides) under uncultured bacterium. Its description in RNAcentral is "partial 16S ribosomal RNA". It matches the Rfam family "Bacterial small subunit ribosomal RNA", at positions 775 to 1067 of the family's 1533-position model. The record is from RNAcentral.